Molecule: ribosomal RNA, 388 nt
Filed under: uncultured bacterium
Lineage: Bacteria
Description: bacterial SSU rRNA
Rfam family: Bacterial small subunit ribosomal RNA
Source: RNAcentral
AUUGAACGCUGGCGGAAUGCUUUACACAUGCAAGUCGAGCGGCAGCGCGGGGGCAACCCUGGCGGCGAGCGGCGAACGGGGUGAGUAACAUAUCGGAACGUACCCCGUCGUGGGGGAUAACACAGCGAAAGCUGUGCUAAUACCGCAUACGACCUGAGGGUGAAAGCGGGGGAUCGCAAGACCUCGCGCGAUGGGAGCGGCCGAUAUCGGAUUAGCUUGUUGGUGAGGUAAAGGCUCACCAAGGCGACGAUCCGUAGCUGGUCUGAGAGGACGACCAGCCACACUGGAACUGAGACACGGUCCAGACUCCUACGGGAGGCAGCAGUGGGGAAUUUUGGACAAUGGGGGCAACCCUGAUCCAGCCAUUCCGCGUGAGUGAAGAAGGCCU